ACUCAAAUGAAUAGACGGGGCCCCGCACAAGCAGCGGAGCGUGUGGUUUAAUUCGAUGUUACACGAAGAACCUUACCUGGGCUUGACAUGGAGGUGGUAGGGAAGCGAAAGCGGACCGACCCUUCGGGGAGCCUUCACAGGUGCUGCAUGGCUGUCGUCAGCUCGUGCCGUGAGGUGUCGGGUUAAGUCCCGUAACGAGCGCAACCCUUGCCCUUAGUUACAAGUGUCUAGGGGGACUGCCGGCGGUAAGCCGGAGGAAGGUGGGGAUGACGUCAAGUCAGCAUGGCCCUUAUGUCCAGGGCUACACACACGCUACAAUGGUCGGUACAAAGGGCAGCGAACCCGCGAGGGGGAGCGAAUCCCAGCAAAGCCGAUCGUAGUUCGGAUUGCAGGCUGCAACCCGCCUGCAUGAAGCUGGAGUUGCUAGUAACCGCGCGUCAGCUAUAGUGCGGUGAAUACGUUCCCGGGGCUUGUACACACCGCCCGU
Molecule: ribosomal RNA, 487 nt
Filed under: uncultured bacterium
Lineage: Bacteria
Description: bacterial SSU rRNA
Rfam family: Bacterial small subunit ribosomal RNA
Source: RNAcentral